CCUACGGGAGGCAGCAGUGAGGAAUAUUGGUCAAUGGGCUUACGCCUGAACCAGCCAAGUCGCGUGAGGGAAGACUGCCCUAUGGGUUGUAAACCUCUUUUGUCAGGGAGCAAUUGGCGCUACGUGUAGCGUUAUCGAGAGUACCUGAAGAAAAAGCAUCGGCUAACUCCGUGCCAGCAGCCGCGGUAAUACGGAGGAUGCGAGCGUUAUCCGGAUUUAUUGGGUUUAAAGGGUGCGUAGGCGGAAUGCCAAGUCAGCGGUAAAAUCGCGGGGCUCAACCUCGCUCCGCCGUUGAAACUGGCGUUCUUGAGUGGGCGAGAAGUAUGCGGAAUGCGUGGUGUAGCGGUGAAAUGCAUAGAUAUUACACAGAACACCGAUUGCGAAGGCAGCUUGCUAGGCCGGAUCUGACACUGAUGCACGAAAGCGUGGGGAUCGAACAGGAUUAGAUACCCCAGUAGUC
RNAcentral lists this ribosomal RNA (460 nucleotides) under uncultured bacterium. RNAcentral's name for it is "partial 16S ribosomal RNA". It matches the Rfam family "Bacterial small subunit ribosomal RNA", at positions 338 to 795 of the family's 1533-position model. The record is from RNAcentral.